AUGCAAGUCUCAGUACAAACUGAUUUAAAGUGAAACCGCAGAAGGCUCAGUAAACCGGUCAUGGUUCAAAUGAACCCUUUAAUUCAUUUGGAUAACUGUGGUAAUUCUAGAGCUAAUACAUGCAACUAAGUCCUGACCAGCGAUGGAAAGGACGCUUUUAUUGGAUCAAAACCAUCCACCUGGCUUGCUGGGUGUUGGCUUGAUGACUCUAGAUAACACCACGGAUCGCACGGUCUCUGAACCGGCGAUGUAUCUUUCAAAUGUCUGACUUAUCAGCCGUCGAUGGUAGACUCUAUGUCUACCAUGGCGCUCACGGGUAACGGGGAAUCAGGGUUCGAUUCCGGAGAGGGAGCCUGAGAAACGGCUACCACAUCCAAGGAAGGCAGCAGGCACGCAAAUUACCCACUCCCAGCACGGGGAGGUAGUGACAAUAAAUAACGAUACGGGACUCAUCCGAGGCCCCGUAAUCGGAAUGAGCACACUUUAAAUCCUUUAACAAAAAUCUAUUGGAGGGCAAGUCUGGUGCCAGCAGCCGCGAUAAUUCCAGCUCCAAUAGCGUAUAUUAAAGUUGUUGCGGUUAAAAAGCUCGUAGUUGGUUCUGCGUGCCAUGCUGUCGGUUCACCGCCUGCCGGUGUAACUGACAUGUCAUGGCAUGUCUUGUCGGUGGUGGAUCAAGGUCCUUUGGUGCAUCAUGCUACUACCUGGCAGCAACAGCUAAGGGGUAGCUGUGUGCCUUGGUUGAUCCUUGUCUGCCUAUUCUAUCCUACCACGGUGCUCUUUACCGAGUGUCGAGGUGGGCCGACAAUGUUUACUUUGAACAAAUUAGAGUGCUCAAAGCAGGCUCUAACAUUUGCCUAAAUAGUGGUGCAUGGAAUAAUAGAAUAGGACCUUGGUUCUAUUUUGUUGGUUUUCGGAUCCCAAGGUAAUGAUCAAUAAGGACAGGCGGGGGCAUUCGUAUUGCGACGUUAGAGGUGAAAUUCUUGGAUCGUCGCAAGACGCACUAGAGCGAAAGCAUUUGCCAAGUAUGUCUUAAUUGAUCAAGAACGAAAGUUAGAGGUUCGAAGGCGAUCAGAUACCGCCCUAGUUCUAACCAUAAACGAUGCCAGCCAGCGAUCCGUCGAUGUUCCUCCGAUGACUCGACGGGGAGCUUUCCCCGGGAAACCAAAGCUUUUGGGUUCCGGGGGAAGUAUGGUUGCAAAGCUGAAACUUAAAGGAAUUGACGGAAGGGCACCACAGGAGUGGGGCCUGCGGCUUAAUUUGACUCAACACGGGGAACCUCACCAGGUCCGGACUUCGGAAGGAUUGACAGAUCGAUAGCUCUUUCUCGAUUCGACGGGUAGUGGUGCAUGGCCGUUCUUAGUUGGUAGACUGAUUUGUCUGGUUAAUUCCGAUAACGAACGAGACUCUAGCCUAUUAACUAGGCGUCUCCGGUAUACUAUAUCUACCGGCGAGAUUUAUUCUUCUUAAGGGGACAGGCGGCUCAUAGCCGCACGAGAUUGAGCAAUAACAGGUCAGUGAUGCCCUUAGAUGUUCUGGGCCGCACGCGCGCCACACUGAAGGAAUCAGCGUGUUUUAUCCCCUGUUCGAAAGGACCGGGUAACCCGCUAAACCUCCUUCGUGCUAGGAAUUGGGGCUUGCAAUUGUUCCCCAUGAACGAGGAAUUCCCAGUAAGCACGAGUCAUAAGCUCGUGUUGAUUACGUCCCUGCCCUUUGUACACACCGCCCGUCGCUACUACCGAUUGAAUGAUUUAGUGAGGUCUUCAGACCGGUGGUGGUCGGCGCUGACAUGUUCAGUAUCGGCUCCGCUGGAAAGAUGACCAAACUUGAUUAUUUAGAGGAAGUAAAAGUCGUAACAAGGUUUUC
RNAcentral lists this ribosomal RNA (1863 nucleotides) under Isodermus planus. RNAcentral describes it as "SSU rRNA". It matches the Rfam family "Eukaryotic small subunit ribosomal RNA". Lineage: Eukaryota; Metazoa; Arthropoda; Insecta; Hemiptera; Aradidae. The record is from RNAcentral.